GCCCGUUUAGCUCAUCGGUAGAGCGCAUCACUAGUAAUGAUGAGGUGACUGGUUCGAUUCCAGUAAUGGGCA
Molecule: non-coding RNA, 72 nt
Organism: Diaporthe ampelina
Lineage: Eukaryota; Fungi; Ascomycota; Sordariomycetes; Diaporthales; Diaporthaceae
Source: Rfam